AACGAUAAAAAUAACUCCGAAAUAUUAAUCGACUUUAAUGUCCAUUAGAGCAUAAACAAUUUCUUCAAUAAAUAAUUCCUUGAUGGACAAAAUUGUAAUACUAAAAAAUUUACCUGCACUUCUGAUUCCGAUCAACUUCCAAUUUUAAAGAUAUAAUGUCUUAGCUAUUCUUAACGUUCCAAACGAAUUCCACAUUGACAAGGACUUUAAGCUUUGGUACCACUGUGUGAAUGGAUUUUUUGCCCAAUGAAUUCUUUCAUAAUCGGCUUUAUCAGCCAUCGAUCGCCCCAUACACACGCAAAAUAUUAUUGUUAUUUGCAAUCUCAAAUUUUUUAAAUUAUCGCUUGAAG
This 350-nucleotide long non-coding RNA is filed under the name Nicotiana benthamiana. Its description in RNAcentral is "long non-coding RNA (NBEN_LNC037341)". Lineage: Eukaryota; Viridiplantae; Streptophyta; Magnoliopsida; Solanales; Solanaceae. The record is from RNAcentral.